GAUGAACGCUAGCGGCAGGCCUAAUACAUGCAAGUCGGACGGGAUAGAGGAGCUUGCUUCUCUUGAGAGUGGCGCACGGGUGCGUAACACGUAUGUAACCUACCUUAUCCAGGGGGAUAGCCUCUCGAAAGAGAGAUUAACACCGCAUAACAUUAUUGAAUAGCAUUAUUUAAUAAUCAAAUAUUAUAGGGAUAAGAUGGGCAUGCGGGACAUUAGCUAGUUGGCGGGGUAACGGCCACCAAGGCGACGAUGUCUAGGGGAUCUGAGAGGAUCGACCCCCACCA
This 284-nucleotide ribosomal RNA is filed under the name uncultured bacterium. RNAcentral's name for it is "partial 16S ribosomal RNA". It matches the Rfam family "Bacterial small subunit ribosomal RNA", at positions 28 to 313 of the family's 1533-position model. The record is from RNAcentral.